RNAcentral lists this long non-coding RNA (388 nucleotides) under Panax ginseng (ginseng). RNAcentral describes it as "long non-coding RNA (PGIN_LNC000476)". The record is from RNAcentral. Lineage: Eukaryota; Viridiplantae; Streptophyta; Magnoliopsida; Apiales; Araliaceae.
GCAAAUAUGAACUGUUGAGGAAUAUCUUUGGCCUGUAGUGCAAAGAUGAAUUAUGGAUGAAUAUCUUUGGGUCGUAGUGCAAAGAUGACCUGUUGUUGAAUAUCUUUGGCCUGUAGUGCAAAGAUGAACUGUUGAUGAAUAUCUUUGGCCCGUAGUGCAAAGAUAAAUUUAUUAGUAUGAUUAUGAACAGGAACUGUGAUUUGGUAUAACCAUUAUCUUUGAUGUUUCAGGUAAAGACAAGUGAUGAAAAUUAUCUUCGUCCUGAAUGAGAAAAGGAAUUUAGAACAACAAUUACGAUUAUGAGUUAUACAUGUGAUUGUGGACAGGAAUUGUUGAUUGAUGUUACAGGGAUAAAACAUUGUUGGUGGACUUUUAACAUGGAGAAGAU